RNAcentral lists this ribosomal RNA (497 nucleotides) under uncultured bacterium. Its description in RNAcentral is "partial 16S ribosomal RNA". It matches the Rfam family "Bacterial small subunit ribosomal RNA", at positions 28 to 507 of the family's 1533-position model. The record is from RNAcentral.
GAUGAACGCUGGCGGCGUGCCUAAUACAUGCAAGUCGAGCGAACAGACGAGGAGCUUGCUCCUCUGACGUUAGCGGCGGACGGGUGAGUAACACGUGGAUAACCUACCUAUAAGACUGGGAUAACUUCGGGAAACCGGAGCUAAUACCGGAUAAUAUAUUGAACCGCAUGGUUCAAUAGUGAAAGACGGUUUUGCUGUCACUUAUAGAUGGAUCCGCGCCGCAUUAGCUAGUUGGUAAGGUAACGGCUUACCAAGGCAACGAUGCGUAGCCGACCUGAGAGGGUGAUCGGCCACACUGGAACUGAGACACGGUCCAGACUCCUACGGGAGGCAGCAGUAGCGAAUCUUCCGCAAUGGGCGAAAGCCUGACGGAGCAACGCCGAGUGAGUGAUCAAGGUCUUCGGAUCGUAAAACUCUGUUAUUAGGGAAGAACAAAUGUGUAAGUAACUAUGCACGUCUUGACGGUACCUAAUCAGACAGCCACGGCUAACUACGUG